This 496-nucleotide ribosomal RNA is filed under the name uncultured bacterium. RNAcentral describes it as "bacterial SSU rRNA". It matches the Rfam family "Bacterial small subunit ribosomal RNA", at positions 29 to 518 of the family's 1533-position model. The record is from RNAcentral.
AACGAACGCUGGCGGCGCGCCUAAUACAUGCAAGUCGAGCGAGAAGGUGUAGCAAUACACUUGUAAAGCGGCGAACGGGUGAGGAAUACAUGGGUAAUCUACCAUCGAGUGGGGAAUAACCAACCGAAAGGUUGGCUAAUACCGCGUACGCCUCCGGAUCUUCGGGUUCGGAGGGAAAGCUGCACUGUGAGUGUAGCGCUCUUUGAUGAGCUCAUGUCCUAUCAGCUUGUUGGUAGGGUAACGGCCUACCAAGGCUUUGACGGGUAGCUGGUCUGAGAGGACGAUCAGCCACACUGGCACUGCGACACGGGCCAGACUCCUACGGGAGGCAGCAGUAAGGAAUAUUGCGCAAUGGGCGAAAGCCUGACGCAGCGACGCCGCGUGGGGGAUGAAGGUCUUCGGAUUGUAAACCCCUUUCGGGAGGGAAGAUGGAACGAGCAAUCGUUCGGACGGUACCUCCAGAAGCAGCCACGGCCAACUUCGUGCCAGCAGCCGC